Molecule: small nuclear RNA, 125 nt
Filed under: Dasypus novemcinctus (nine-banded armadillo)
Lineage: Eukaryota; Metazoa; Chordata; Mammalia; Cingulata; Dasypodidae
Description: U1 spliceosomal RNA (ENSDNOG00000043802.1)
Rfam family: U1 spliceosomal RNA
About the family: U1 is a small nuclear RNA (snRNA) component of the spliceosome (involved in pre-mRNA splicing).
Source: RNAcentral
GUACCUCCAUGAAGGUGGUUUUCCCAGAGUGAGACGUCUCCACUGCACCCUGGAUGUGCUGGCACCUGCGGUUGCCAUACCCUGUAAUUUGUGGUAGUGGGGGACUGCGUUCAUGCUCCCCCCUA